RNAcentral lists this unclassified non-coding RNA (376 nucleotides) under soil metagenome. RNAcentral describes it as "partial contains 5.8S ribosomal RNA, internal transcribed spacer 2, and large subunit ribosomal RNA". The stretch from base 1 to 120 matches the Rfam family "5.8S ribosomal RNA", at positions 35 to 154 of the family's 154-position model. The record is from RNAcentral.
GAUGAAGAACGUAGCGAAAUGCGAUAAGUAAUGUGAAUUGCAGAAUUCAGUGAAUCAUCGAAUCUUUGAACGCAUCUUGCGCUCCUUGGUAUUCUGAGGAUCAUGCCUGUUUGAGUGUCAUUAAAUUCUCAACUACACUGACUUUGAAUUGGUGUGGCUUGGAUUUGGGGGGAAAAUUGUUGUGGGCUUUUUGUAUAGUCUGCUCCCCUGAAAUUGAUUAGCGGUACCUUUGUGGAACUGUCUACAGGUGUGAUAAUUAUCUACAUCUUAGACAUCUGCUGGAAUGCUGCUCUCUAAACCUUACUUGUAUUGACAAUCUUGACCUCAAAUCAGGUAGGACUACCCGCUGAACUUAAGCAUAUCAAUAAGCGGAGGA